Podarcis raffonei (Aeolian wall lizard) is the source of this 1107-nucleotide long non-coding RNA. RefSeq lists it as uncharacterized. NCBI's taxonomy places the organism in Eukaryota, Metazoa, Chordata, Lepidosauria, Squamata, Lacertidae. The transcript is spliced from 2 exons. The record is from RefSeq and is a predicted model, not a curated record.
CUCCUGUCUUCCACUGCCUCCCGCAGUUUAGUCAAACUCAUGCUGGUAGCUUCGAGAACACUAUCCAACCAUCUCGUCCUCUGUCGUCCCCUUCUCUUUGUGCCCUCCAUCUUUCCCAACAUCAGGGUCUUUUCUAGGGAGUCUUCUCUUCUCAUGAGGUGGCCAAAGUAUUGGAGCCUCAGCUUCACGAUCUGUCCUUCCAGUGAGAACUCAGGGCUGUAUUUCCUUAAGAAUGGAUCGGUUUGAUCUUCUUGCAGUCCAUUGGACUCUCAAGAGUCUCCUCCAGCACCAUAAUUCAAAAGCAUCAAUUCUUCGGCGAUCAGCUUUCUUUAUGGUCCAUUUCUCACUUCCAUACAUCACUACUGGGAAAACCAUAGCUUUAACUAUACGGACCUUUGUUGGCAAGGUGAUGUCUCUGCUUUUUAAGAUGCUGUCUAGGUUUGUCAUUGCCUUUCUCCCAAGAAGCAGGCAUCUUUUAAUUUCGUGGCUGCUGUCAGGCAGUGAGAGAUUUUACUUUCUUGGGCUCCAUGAUCACUGCAGCUGGCAUACAUACCUUUGAUUUUUUUAAAAAAAUUAACACAAGUUUUCUCUACACUUCUGACACAAUUUGUCACAUUUGUGGGCAUCUAAGGUGCAAGAAACAUCCAACUAAGCACUCAGAGUGUAGAAGAAGCUCUCCUGCAGGAACCUUAAAAGCAGAACCAUUUGCCACAAGGCUACAUUACAAUGUUUAAUAAGUUGGAGUUCUUGUUAUUAAAUAUACUAGCUGAUGAAUGUGAAUACAUCGAGACAGGGCCCUGUCCUGGUCUCCAAUCCAUAACUGACUUCUGCUUAACGAUUGAAACUGAGUCUCCAUCUGCAAGCUGAUAAAUUAUAAGGAUCAACAUUAUUGUCGAGUGAAAAGGAGAAAAUCUUUGUAACGAAUUAUUGUUUUAUACAUAAAUCUUUGAGUUUGGGUUUGUUAUCUCUGUUAGAGUUUGUAAUCUCUAUUUCAGUUUGUAAUCUUUAUUAGAAGACAUACUUUUGAAUGGAUUGGUUUUGGUUUCUAUUGACUAUUGAAUUGUGAGUAGGGACCACCCCCACUAUUAAAACUUAUAUUGAUCUGAA